GCUUAACCUUCGGGAGGGCGCUUACCACUUUGUGAUUCAUGACUGGGGUGAAGUCGUAACAAGGUAACCGUAGGGGAACCUGCGGUUGGAUCACCUCCUUA
This 101-nucleotide ribosomal RNA is filed under the name Citrobacter freundii. RNAcentral's name for it is "partial 16S ribosomal RNA". It matches the Rfam family "Bacterial small subunit ribosomal RNA", at positions 1433 to 1533 of the family's 1533-position model. Lineage: Bacteria; Pseudomonadati; Pseudomonadota; Gammaproteobacteria; Enterobacterales; Enterobacteriaceae. RNAcentral also lists the same sequence under 83 other names. The record is from RNAcentral.